AAGAGUUUGAUCCUGGCUCAGGAUGAACGCUAGCUACAGGCUUAACACAUGCAAGUCGAGGGGCAUCAGGAAGAAAGCUUGCUUUCUUUGCUGGCGACCGGCGCACGGGUGAGUAACACGUAUCCAACCUGCCCUUUACUCGGGGAUAGCCUUUCGAAAGAAAGAUUAAUACCCGAUAGUAUAAUCAUUCCGCAUGGUUUGAUUAUUAAAGGAUUCCGGUAAAGGAUGGGGAUGCGUUCCAUUAGGUUGUUGGUGAGGUAACGGCCCACCAAGCCUUCGAUGGAUAGGGGUUCUGAGAGGAAGGUCCCCCACAUUGGAACUGAGACACGGUCCAAACUCCUACGGGAGGCAGCAGUGAGGAAUAUUGGUCAAUGGGCGCGAGCCUGAACCAGCCAAGUAGCGUGAAGGAUGACUGCCCUAUGGGUUGUAAACUUCUUUUAUAUUAGAAUAAAGUGCAGUAUGUAUACUGUUUUGUAUGUAUAAUAUGAAUAA
RNAcentral lists this ribosomal RNA (492 nucleotides) under Bacteroides fragilis. RNAcentral's name for it is "bacterial SSU rRNA". It matches the Rfam family "Bacterial small subunit ribosomal RNA", at positions 1 to 489 of the family's 1533-position model. The record is from RNAcentral. Lineage: Bacteria; Pseudomonadati; Bacteroidota; Bacteroidia; Bacteroidales; Bacteroidaceae.